CUGCACAAAUGUUGCUUUGCCUUUAAAAUACUUGUUUCCUCUGGUGUGCAGUGGCUGCAGAGCAAGCAGUGUCCCCAGCAGUACAGCAGCCUGUGUGGCCUGUGUGGGCUGUCAUAAGGGACCCUGGAGAUGGUC
Molecule: small nucleolar RNA, 135 nt
Organism: Sorex fumeus (smoky shrew)
Lineage: Eukaryota; Metazoa; Chordata; Mammalia; Eulipotyphla; Soricidae
Product: small nucleolar RNA SNORA70
Exons: 1
Source: RefSeq, a predicted model, not a curated record